GAAGUGCGAUAAGCAAUGCGAAUUGCAGAAUUCCGCGAAUCAUCAGAUCUUUGAACGCAAAUGGCGCUAGAGGGAUAUCCUUCUGGCAUGUCUGUUUCAGUGUCUGAGAGGUUUCACAAUAAUCUUAAUGUGAUUGAAUACGGCUUGAUAUGAUUUUAUCAUCAUCUUGCUAAUUUCUCUCAUGAAAGAUGCGCGAGUGGAUCUUUCGGUCCAAUGAAGUGGUCACAUCACUCGAAUGUGAUUUCAUUGGAAGCACCGAAUUAUCAUUCAUUGCUCGUGGUAUCACAAUUAUUAUUUCUAGAUGCUAUUUAUUUAGCGUCCAAAAAUAAACUCUCUACAACCUGCAUCUGAGAUAGGCAAGAUCACCCGCUGAACUUAA
This 379-nucleotide unclassified non-coding RNA is filed under the name uncultured fungus. RNAcentral describes it as "sequence contains ITS1". The stretch from base 1 to 105 matches the Rfam family "5.8S ribosomal RNA", at positions 50 to 154 of the family's 154-position model. The record is from RNAcentral. Lineage: Eukaryota; Fungi.